This 85-nucleotide small nucleolar RNA is filed under the name Sorghum bicolor (sorghum). Its description in RNAcentral is "Small nucleolar RNA R12". It matches the Rfam family "Small nucleolar RNA R12". From Rfam's summary of the family: snoR12 is a C/D box small nucleolar RNA, which acts as a methylation guide for 25S ribosomal RNA in plants. snoR12 has been alternatively named snoZ44 in Arabidopsis and snoZ131 in rice. Lineage: Eukaryota; Viridiplantae; Streptophyta; Magnoliopsida; Poales; Poaceae. The record is from Rfam by way of RNAcentral.
AUUGGGGUGUAGAAGAAAACCAGACAGAUUCCCACUGAUUUUCCAAAAUGAUGGAUGUUAUUACUACUAACCAGCUGCAUCCAAU